GAUGAACGCUAGCUACAGGCUUAACACAUGCAAGUCGAGGGGUAACGAGAGGAAAGCUUGCUUUCCUUGUCGACGACCGGCGCACGGGUGAGUAACGCGUAUCCAACCUGCCCCCAACUAGGGAAUAACCUUGCGAAAGUAAGACUAAUACCCUAUAAUUUCCUCAGAUGACAUCUGACGAGGAAUAAAGAUUUAUCGGUUGUGGAUGGGGAUGCGUCUGAUUAGCUUGUUGGCGGGGCAACGGCCCGCCAAGGCAACGAUCAGUAGGAGUUCUGAGAGGAAGGUCCCCCACAUUGGAACUGAGACACGGUCCAAACUCCUACGGGAGGCAGCAGCGAGGAAUAUUGGUCAAUGGGCGGAAGCUUGAACCAGCCAAGUAGCGUGCAGGAUGACGGCCCUAUGGGUUGUAAACUGCUUUUAUACAGGAAUAAAGUUAGCCACGUGUGGUUAUUUGUAGGUACUGUAUGAAUAAGGACCGGCUAAUUCCGUGCCAGCAGCCGCCGUAA
This 506-nucleotide ribosomal RNA is filed under the name uncultured bacterium. RNAcentral describes it as "partial 16S ribosomal RNA". It matches the Rfam family "Bacterial small subunit ribosomal RNA", at positions 28 to 523 of the family's 1533-position model. The record is from RNAcentral.